AAUUUCCCCCCUUAAUUUCUCCAUUCAUUCCUAAUGUUUUUCUUACAAAUGAUCAAUUUGUGAAUUUAAAUUGAAUUUACUUUGAUUUUGGGUGUGGAUACAAAGAAUAGGUUUAUGAAUUUCAAUUGAAUAUUAGUUUUUGUAAUUUGUUAAAUGAGAAAGAGAGAGCAUAGAUCAUAGAUUUAGGGAAAGGGAGAGAAAGUAAGGAGAGAUGCCGA
Molecule: unclassified non-coding RNA, 218 nt
Filed under: Hevea brasiliensis (rubber tree)
Lineage: Eukaryota; Viridiplantae; Streptophyta; Magnoliopsida; Malpighiales; Euphorbiaceae
Source: RNAcentral